Molecule: long non-coding RNA, 1236 nt
Organism: Salvia splendens (bonfire salvia)
Lineage: Eukaryota; Viridiplantae; Streptophyta; Magnoliopsida; Lamiales; Lamiaceae
Exons: 2
Source: RefSeq, a predicted model, not a curated record
CUCGAUUCCGUGUUGGAUCUGAUAAAUUGAAUAAAUAAUAUAAAGAUUCAGUCCGUGAUAAAUAAAUUGUGGACGGCACAAUUUAAAAUAAAAUACAAUGGAAUGUGAAUUAAACUAAUCUAAUUGAAUAUCCUCCCGGUUGAUUCGAUCAUCAAUCGACAUUAAUUCAAAUAUUAAAUAAAGAUUUUUUCAUUGAUAUUCCUCCUCCGUGAUGAGAUUUUCCCCCUCCGUGAUCUGCAAAUAAAAUAUUAAACAAACCUAAUUAAUAAAUUAAAGUUCAAAAAAAAAGAGGAAAAACGCCUCCACUCCUUUUCCCACGUUAUAACCGUUUCCCCACUCCAUGAAUCUCUCCCAUAUCUAAACCAAGCCGCCUCCUCUCUAUAAUACUCCUUCCACAAAUCAGAUGUCACCCAUUUACGCUUCUCUGCAAAUCUGCAAGAACUCACAAGAACAAGACUAAUUAUUCUCAACCUCUACUCAAUCGAACUCAAGAAAUCCAGAACUAAAAUCAAGGAAAGAUUCAUCAUCUAUUCUUUCACAAUCUGACUGCAAAUCGAAGAAUCUGCAAUUAACCUCUUAAUCGAAGCAACUGAAUUAAAGAAUCGAACUUUAAGUCACGAAAUCAAAUCUGGAACUUAUCUGCGGGUUAAUCGGGGCUGCCGGAGCGGCGACGGCGGUGGGUGCGAGCCGCCCAGCAGCUGCUCGGUCUGGAUGUUGCCCGAACGGCAACGGAGCGGGCGAACACGGACACUGCAGCAUCGACGCUGCAGCGGCAAAUUUAGAGAUCUUGCUUUGUUCUUCCUGUGAAAGAAAUCGAGGGAGAGAGAGAUGGAUUUGGGUGUGUGUGCUUCUGAAAUCUUCAAUUUGAGUGUGUUGCAAAUUUGAGAAAUUGGGUGAGCUCUUUGAAAAAAAUUUGGACGAAAUUGAGAGACAGAGAGAGAAGGGGGGUGUUGAGGAGGAUGGACUUUGCUUGGUUGAAGCCGACAGUGCUGGGUUAUUUCCUCUCUAUAUGUAUAUACUAAUAUGUAUGCAUAGAUGUGUGUGUAUAAUGUCAAAUUAAUAAAUGAGAGAGGGAGUACAGAACAGUACAUGAAAUAGAGGGGAGAGUGAGAAGAGAGAGAGAGAAGCGACGACAUUUCCGGAGUAAAGUGUUUCCUCUAAUGACUUCUUUUACUAGUUUGUUACUUUGUCUUUUGGGAAUAUAUAUAAUUUGAUGAUGAUGGUUUCAAAAUGGAA